Long non-coding RNA from Xenopus laevis (African clawed frog), 1104 nucleotides. RefSeq lists it as uncharacterized. Lineage: Eukaryota; Metazoa; Chordata; Amphibia; Anura; Pipidae. The transcript has 4 exons. The record is from RefSeq and is a predicted model, not a curated record.
UUGUGACGCUGGUGUUAUGUACAGUAACUGCUAUUGUUUGUAAUGGAGAUGUAUUGCUGUAUACACUUUUAUAUAUAAUAAAGCAUUUAUUUACUUUUACAUAUACCAUGGUGUGUUCAUUUACUAGGGGGUGCAUUGGGCUAUUUUAGAAGUUGUAUUCUGUUCUGUUUUGGCCAUAAUUGAGCUAAGGAGAAUGCCGUGUACUUUUGCACAGAUGAUAAUAUAUGUAUAAGUUUCUAAAAGAGAAUUGUAUAAGCACAGCCUUUUUACUUAGAUUUUAUUAAACACCUACUGUAUAACCCAAUUCUCUCCUUCUAAUGCUCUUUGGUGUGUCUUUUGCAGUGUGACAUCUGGUCGCUGGGGAUAACCGCCAUCGAAAUGGCUGAGGGAGAACCACGUAAGUGAAUCAUAACAAUUGUGGCUACUUUAUUUUAUACAUUGAGCAGCAGAGGUUCUAUAUCAGAAUGGGAGGAAUUUGGGAUGAUUUGCCAUUUCCAGCAAAAAAUAACUUUUUCUAUAGAUUAAAUAAAUAACUUCUAGACAUGUUUGAUGGACCUGAUAUAUAUGUUUUUCACUUUCAGCAUACACAGGGCAAUACGCAGUGGAGGACCUGAUAAUUGAAGCCCAACCACCAAAGCUUCAAUCAAACACCUGGUCACAGCAUUUUGUGUCCUUCUUGGAGUCCUGUCUGAAAAAGGACCCUUUGGAGAGAGCGAGUGCUGAAGAACUCCUGCAGCACCCAUUCGUCACCCAACUACCACCUAAGAAGAUCGUCAGGGCUGAGAUUGAAGAACAUCUCCGGACUCUGCAGAACCUGCCGGCCAAGAAAGGACUGAAGGGAGUUGCUCUCUCAAAGCUGCGGCGUGCUUGUGACUUCUGCACACAGACAUCGGCAGAACAAGAAGCAGCUCUGCAAAUGGCCCUGGAGGGCUUCUCCUGUUAUUGAUAUUGUGGCCAAUAACAUCAACAGCCCAGAAUGAGUUUCCUGAAUCACAGCCGAGGAAAAAGAAACAUCCACAGGAUCCAGUGGCGUCUGCAGCUCCAUCAGCGACAUCUCCUUUCAAGUUGAUGCAGUUCAGCAAAUGGUAACUUCAAGAUUCCUGC